GCCUGCACCCUAGGCUGCACUCCCGUAUCCAGGAACCACCUCUUUUUACAGCAGGAAGAGGGCAACCAGAGAGGGCGAGAGCGCAGCCCACGGUCACCCACAAGCUUCAGAACAAAGUUGGCAGCGUGAGGAGUCUGGGUUCGAAUCCUAGCACAGCCCGUCAUAUCGCUAGCAGUUAAAACCUCAGCCUCCUCCGCGCGCCCCGCAGCGCAGGCACCCACCGCCCAGCCGCAGCCUGCGUUCUGUCUGCAGCCCAAGGGGAAGUGUGCGUGCGCGUCUCCACUGGCAACGGCGGUCGCCCGGCAACCCGUUUUUCUGCCACUUAUUUGGCAAGAGGCCGGGUGGCCUGCCUCUGCUCUCCUGGGAAAAGUAUGACAGCACGAGAGACUCAAAGAUGUCCUUCCUGCCCAGCAAGAGAGUCACCUCUCCCAGGAAGCCCUCCUGGCUGACCUCACCUGCUCAGACGGCUCCUCCCAACUGCCAUGGCCUCUGUCCCUCUCAUGUGGUCCUACCCCGUGGCUCUGCCCUAUGGCUCAGGGCUCUGUUUAUAGCACACAGAGUGUGUGUGGGCCUGGCUCCCUGUCAGAUAGGACCCAUGCACAAACAAAUCCAACAUCCCUCGGGUUCCUGGAGGCUCCCGUAACCCCUGAUCCUUCCUUGACUUGAGCCCGUUCCCUUGUCCCUCGGCCCCAGCUCUGAGCUAAGCUCUCAGAACCUUUGGCCUUUUCUCAGGACUUCAGAGGUCAUUUGGUUGACCCCCAAGCCUGCUACCCAGUGCCCUCUCCAGGCUCGCUUGCAUGGCACAAUGACAGAGAGCUCAUGACCCCCCUCACAGGACAUCUGAAAAUCCUUUCUGCGAUUAAAUUGCCCGCCCUGCCCAGGGAAGAACAAGCCAUGUCUCCUCUCUCCAGGAGAGACAGGCACACCUGUGAAGACUGCUCAUAGCCCCCACUGCAGUGAUCUCCGAAUGUCCCUAACGUGGGUUCCUCCCAAUUGUGAGCCCCUCCCAACCUGGCUACUCUUUCUUCUCUGCUCUCCAACGCCACAUCUAUCAGGAGCCCAAACCCUUGAAGGCCCUCUGCUGGGCAGGGCAGUCCAGCCACUUGAGAAGAUGACUCUGAGCUAGGUCUCUCUUCUGAUGUCCAAGUUUUGUCCCACAGGCUUUGGGGAGCCUCACCCAGGAUGAGAAGGGGUCUUAGGGCAGAAAUAAAGCCUGGGAUGCAUGAGCCCUGGUGAUGUGUCCCUGGAGUCAGCCAGAUGCCUAUUCAGCCCCUGCCAUGAAACUGGCCAGGCAACUCACCAGGGCCUUGCCGUGGGCAAGCGUCUCUUUCCCAGUCAUCCUGAGGGGAAGGCUGAGUAGACAAAGCUAGUGAAAUACUCGGAACAGAGCAAAUACCAAUGUCUUUAAGCAUAUUUGUUUCUUUAGCAAAGAUGAUGACUUCCUUCUGUGAGCUCACUCACGGUGUUGAAUGCCAACUCACCGUUUACCUGUUUCCUUGGACCAACCAGCCAAGGAAGGGUUAGACCUGGAGGUGCUACUUUGCAGAUAGAGGCCCUGGGGGGUUCGCAGGAAGUUAGGGUUCCUGAGCUUCCCACAAUGUGACAGGUCCUAGUGUCCAUGUGGGCACCAUACUGGCCCUGCCAGUCUCCCUGCAGUGCACCUGGCUUCCAGGUCUCAAAAUUCAAUCUGCUUCUCUGUUCCGGCUACUGGGCCCCUGCCAAGUCCUUCUGAAUGUGUAGCAACUGCCGAACAUUCUAAGAAAUGCCUCCGGGGGUUUUCUUGGGAGCCCGGGUGAGGCAGGAAGUCCCCUGGGCUGAGGUGGUAGCAGAUGGCACCUGCGCUCUGGGUGGGGGUGUCUCCUUGGGGUGCAGGCUAGUGAACUGGAGGCAGGAGUGUGAGUCCUAGUCCUGGGGCUCCUGCCAGUGGCCAGCACCUAUCCAUGAUCCAAGGGCUCCCCACCUGCUCUAUUUACAGACCUUGAGCUCUGGAAAGUGGUGUCCCCAGGGCCACAGAGCUAUGCAGGCCAGGGGCUGGGACUGACUCACUCCCCAUGGCAGCAUGUGGCCAACCAAGGGUUGUUAUCUGAUGGCCUGUUAUUAGUUUCUGUUCAGAUGAAUCUGUAUCAACUCUAUGCAGCUGAGUCCUACUGGCUGGGCUCAAGGAGAAGGAGAAAAUUAUAAUAACUGAAAAAAAUUGGUAUUUUGACAAGUAAGUACAUAUUUUCGAAUCCAGCCAGUCCAGGCUCUGCUAUCUCCAGGUGACUGAUGCAAGAUAAUGUCCUUUCGUGGCUCUCAGAAGAUUUCCCUAGAUUGUCUCACUGGUUGCCUCCAGGUCCCCUCUCUUCCUCUGUUCCUUUCUCCCCAGCCCCCACCCCUCUUUCAUGCUUCUAAACUCAAGGGUCACACAGUCACCUGAACACACCAAUCACAAUGGCAUCAUUAUAGUUCCAAAGCUACCAAAAAAAAAAAAAAGGUGUGCGUCUUGGAGGGGGGGGCACGGUGAGGAUGGUGGGGUCCAGGAAUUUAGCCGCACCCAGGAGAGCAGUACAAUCGACUAUUGUUGUGUCAGAAGUUUCCCGGUGAUAAGAAGGGAGUUUAGAAAUGCCGCUUUCUGAGCGGAUUGCGAAACAGAAUAGAAAGUUCAAGGCUGAGAGAUAGCUGAGAACAGGGAGCAGCCCCUCCAGGAGGCCCCCAGGCCUCAGGCUGACCAGCCCCUUGACAACAGGAAGGGGGGCCUAGUUCAAUCAUCCCCCUCCACCUUCCCCCCCAUUCCCAGGAGGACCAGGACAUCAGAGAGCUCGCUUCUUCUCUGAGGGUUUUGUAGAAAUUCUUUAAAGCAGCUUUGGACCAUUGAGGGCCUGCCUGGUGCCAGGCACCUGUUGUAUUUACCUCCAUUAUCUCAUUUCUCAGGGCUUCCCAGGUGGUGCUAGUGGUAAAGAACCCACCUGCCAAUGCAGGAGACCUAAGAGUUGCAGGUUCGAUCCCUGGGUCAGGAAGAUUUCCUGGAGGAGGAAAUGGCAACCCAUUCCAGUAUUCUUGACUGAAGAAUCCCAUAGACAGAGGAGCCUGGCAGGCUACAGUCAAUGGGGUUGCACAGAGUCGGACACGUCUUGGCACAUCUCAUCCCUCACACCCAUGCUGUGUGGAAGGUGGCAGCUCCCUCCUAACUUGGAUGGGCAGGCAGUCGAAGCACACAGAUUGGGAUCUGAACCCCACUACACUGCCUCUCGUUUAUCCUGUAAGCCUGUGCCUUCAGAUUUGUGGGGAGGACCAACUCCUCCUUGAGCAUCCUAGGUCAUUUCCAAUUUGUGCAUUCUCUCCCUCGGGACUUUGUCUAAUGGUAUCCGUGAGGCCCAGGCCAGGUUACAGAGGCGGGCCAUGCUCCCUUCCUGCUCAUUGCUUUCUGGUGAGAGCCACCCCUCCCCCAUUCCAGGAGCUGAUUUUGGCCAGUCUUUCCCUGGGACACCUGUCCUUGAGUUGUCAUCCUCCCAUGGGCAUUAGCAACCUAGAGGGCAGAAGAUGAGGGCAAGAGGAAUUGCAGUGAUCCAGCACUGGUCACUAGCAGCUGUGACCUCAGGCAGGUCGCUGAACCUCUCUGUGCCUCAGUUUCCUAAUGGAAAAAAUGGGGAUAAUAAUAGCCCUACCCUGUAUGACCACUAGGAGGAAUAACAGAAGGUGCCUGGCUGAUGCCUGUUCCAUCUGGGGGCUCCCAAAGCAUUCACUUCAGCCUAAGCCCGUCAUCAUAUAGACUAACUAACCAGUGUGGCCCAGAAAUUCAGGGCCUCCCUUAUUCUGAAUCUUGUGCUAUUGCCAUCACGUCGUGCCAGGCUCUUGACUCUCCCCUGGCAGGCACAUACCUCCCUUUGGAAGUGGGAAGCAGCUGGGGUCCCCGGACAACUGCCACAGCGUGGGAGGCCUCCACUGCGCGUAGAGAGGUUGAAGAGGGGCAGAGACAGCACUUCCAGUCAAGCCUUGUGACAUCAUUCCUCAGCUCUAUGUGUGAAAUGUAAUAAACAGAAGGUUCAUUUAAAAUGAAAUUGGGGGAAUUCCCUGGCAGUCCAGGGGUUAGGACUCAGCCUUUCACUGUCAAGGGCACAGGUUCAAUGCCUGGUCAGGGAACUAAGAUCCCGCAAGCCUCAAGGUGUGGCCAAAAAAAUUUGGAAAAAAAAAAAAAAAAGGAACUGGGAGGCCAGAGCAGGAGCUCUCAUAGUCUACCAUUCAGUAUCAGUUGCAGACCCAACAGGAAGAGAAUAUCUCACAUCUCCAUCAAGAAGGUUACUACUUUUCUAUCCAGCAAGAGAAAGAAGAAUUUCUCUCAGCCUGGCAACAACCCAGCCAUUGAGAGGUUGCCACAACUCAGCCAAUGAAAAGCCACAACACUUCCAACUCCUAGUUUCCUCCAAUGAGCUCUUUUGGUUAUAACAGCCCCUCCCAACUCCCUUUCUCCUCUAUAAAAGAAAGUGCCCCUGCUUUGUUCUCCUGAUUUGCCUGUGGUUUG
This is a long non-coding RNA of Dama dama (fallow deer), 4498 nucleotides long. RefSeq lists it as uncharacterized. The record is from RefSeq and is a predicted model, not a curated record. The transcript is spliced from 3 exons. Lineage: Eukaryota; Metazoa; Chordata; Mammalia; Artiodactyla; Cervidae.